AAUCAUCAGCUCAUACAUCUACCGUUGACAAGCGUAAAGUUUGAUCCUAAAUAUGAGUUCCAUGUUAGGGGCUCAAGUUUAGUUGGGCAAACUUUGGGUGGGUUUUCAACUUUCCUCGAAGCUUAUGUGAUACGAGUAAGGCACAUACUGUUCAACUUGGGGGAGGAGGGCUUGUGAAACAACAUCUUAAUCCAUGAGUGCCCCUGGUGCAAACUUUCGGGCGCACAUCUGCCCGGCCUCAUUUGGUCACAUUCAUCUUACUUCUUCUCUCCUUGUCUGCCUUCUUUUCUCGGCACGAGGGAAUUAUUGCCACUUGAACGUAGUUUGUCCAUGGACAUAUGAAGAAAAAUGAAGUAAUCAUGAGCAGAAUCAACCUUAGAAUAUUCACGACUUGGCUCCCACUCAGCUCAGCUCAACACGCUGAGACUUUACGACAUCCAUAUCUUGAAGCGCACUCGAAUGAAAUGCUCGGGAUCCGGGAUUUGCAGCGUCACCACCAGUUUAACUAAGUGGCAUUCAUCAUAGUACGUGACAAAUGUCUCCUCUGUUCCUGUUUUAUGCAAUACACAACAGACUCAUUUGAAAAUAAAGUUACAUUUUCUACUAUA
Tigriopus californicus is the source of this 608-nucleotide long non-coding RNA. RefSeq lists it as uncharacterized. NCBI's taxonomy places the organism in Eukaryota, Metazoa, Arthropoda, Copepoda, Harpacticoida, Harpacticidae. The record is from RefSeq and is a predicted model, not a curated record. The transcript has 2 exons.